UCCUACGGGGGGCAGCAGUGAGGAAUAUUGGUCAAUGGGCGAGAGCCUGAACCAGCCAAGUCGCGUGAGGGAGUACUGCCCUAUGGGUUGUAAACCUCUUUUGUCGGGGAGCAAAAGCCGGACGUGUCCGGCUGUGAGAGUACCCGAAGAAAAAGCAUCGGCUAACUCCGUGCCAGCAGCCGCGGUAAUACGGAGGAUGCGAGCGUUAUCCGGAUUUAUUGGGUUUAAAGGGUGCGUAGGCGGUUUGAUAAGUUAGAGGUGAAAUGUCGGGGCUCAACCCCGAAACCGCCUCUAAUA
Molecule: ribosomal RNA, 297 nt
Filed under: uncultured bacterium
Lineage: Bacteria
Description: partial 16S ribosomal RNA
Rfam family: Bacterial small subunit ribosomal RNA
Source: RNAcentral